Molecule: non-coding RNA, 1109 nt
Organism: Peromyscus maniculatus bairdii (prairie deer mouse)
Lineage: Eukaryota; Metazoa; Chordata; Mammalia; Rodentia; Cricetidae
Source: RefSeq, a predicted model, not a curated record
UGACAUCAUCUUCUGGCAAGUAUUACCUCUCAUACCCUGGACACAAGAAAAUGGAAAAUAUUAGAUAGAAGUGCUGUCUUGGAGAUAAAGUGAGGGGUGCGUGUGAAGCAUCCAACACAGUAGGUAACAGUGACGCCAGCUCACUCUGAGCAGCCCUACGUAUGUGACCUGCAGACGCCAGCUCCAGGGUCAGCCUCCAUUCUCUCCUCCUCUGCACUGAGCAGUGACAUCUGUCUCCCACUGUGGGCGGAAAGACCCUCCCACUGGAAGAGAAAAGGGCUUCUCUUUCCCCCCAAGUUCUUUGUUCUGGACCUUUGGCUUACAGAGCCCUGCAGGUGAUCGGACAAGGAUCAAAGCCAGGGCCAGGCUUCCGGAACAGCUCCUUCUCCUCCUGUGGUCCCAAGUUAUCCAAAGUCCUAAGAAAUCCCUUCCAGACUUCUUGGCUUCCCUUGAGACUGUCUGCCUUUUUCAGAGACUAGUAUAGUUUGAAAAGAGCCAGUUCCUCUUAGCACAGAGACCAAUUCUAGCCUGGGAACCGCCAGUGUGGCAGGCAGGUAUGGAAGUCCAGUGGGCAACAUGAAGGGAUUUCUAGGUCCUUGUGUCCCAGAAUGAGAAAUUGCACAAGGACAGAUGGAUGGGGACAGAGGCUGCGAGAGCUCAUUAAGAGGGUGCACUUUCCAAGGGAAAAAUAGGCUGGAGCAGGAAGGGAAGACACUUAGACUCACAGUGGUGCCAUGUCCAGCCAGUCGAGGCCCUUGUAGAUAAUCGCUAUAGUGCACUUUUUUUUGCACAUACUAGAUUACAUGUUGGCCUUGGUCUACGGGAUUUCCAGUCUUCCUCUCUGACAACUGCUUUCUUUUCCAUGCUGAAUUGGACCUCACUCUCCCUGACACUCUCAAGCUACAACCAGGGCUGGAGUCUGAGUACAGGGAACCUGGAGAGGCAGAUCGUCACAUACCCCUCACUGAUAUACUGUACAGUUUCAAGUGAACAGAGUGUAACUGUGAUAAACACAAUGCAGAUACUUUAAGAGCCUUUCCGCCUUUUAUCCCCAUUGGAUAUAAUGUAUUCCAUCAGUGGAUACAGAAAGAAUGACUUCCAUCGAGUAA